Molecule: ribosomal RNA, 304 nt
Filed under: uncultured bacterium
Lineage: Bacteria
Description: partial 16S ribosomal RNA
Rfam family: Bacterial small subunit ribosomal RNA
Source: RNAcentral
CAGCAGUCGCCGCGGGAAAACGAAGGGUGCAAGCGUUACUCGGAAUUACUGGGCGUAAAGCGUGCGUAGGUGGUGGUUUAAGUCCGUUGUGAAAGCCCUGGGCUCAACCUGGGAAUUGCAGUGGAUACUGGGUCACUAGAGUGUGGUAGAGGAUAGUGGAAUUUCCGGUGUAGCAGUGAAAUGCGUAGAGAUCGGAAGGAACAUCUGUGGCGAAGGCGACUAUCUGGGUCAACACUGACGCUGAGGCGCGAAAGCGUGGGGAGCAAACAGGAUUAGAUACCCCCGUAGUCCCUGUCUCUUAUAC